Pseudophryne corroboree (corroboree frog) is the source of this 269-nucleotide long non-coding RNA. RefSeq lists it as uncharacterized. The record is from RefSeq and is a predicted model, not a curated record. The transcript is spliced from 3 exons. Lineage: Eukaryota; Metazoa; Chordata; Amphibia; Anura; Myobatrachidae.
GAAACUGGCAUCAGUUGAAACAGACCGUUGGCACUCGGUGACUACCACCUCUGUAUAUAUACCCGUGAUGUAUAUAUGUAACGCUUCUUCAUGGAUUCAACGAGAGAACAUUGACCAGUAGCUGUAAGGAUUUUCCUAUCCAGGACAUAUAACUUUAUGAUAAAAUCAUCACUGCACAAAUACAAAAGCUGUGAGUAGCCUGCCAGGUGAAUGUGCGUCUGUAGCUGACCUUAGGUGCGAUCUUGAUGCGCUUGCUGCAUCGCGGCCCU